GAUGAACGCUAGCUACAGGCUUAACACAUGCAAGUCGAGGGGAAACGGCAUUUAGUGCUUGCACCGAAUGGACGUCGACCGGCGCACGGGUGAGUAACGCGUAUCCAACCUACCCAUUACUGUGGGAUAACCUGCCGAAAGGCAGACUAAUACCGCAUAGUCUUCGAUGACGGCAUCAGAUUUGAAGUAAAGAUUUAUCGGUAAUGGAUGGGGAUGCGUCUGAUUAGCUUGUUGGCGGGGUAACGGCCCACCAAGGCGACGAUCAGUAGGGGUUCUGAGAGGAAGGUCCCCCACAUUGGAACUGAGACACGGUCCAAACUCCUACGGGAGGCAGCAGUGAGGAAUAUUGGUCAAUGGACGUAAGUCUGAACCAGCCAAGUAGCGUGCAGGAUGACGGCCCUAUGGGUUGUAAACUGCUUUUGUAUGGGGAUAAAGUCAAUCACGUGUGAUUGUUUGCAGGUACCAUACGAAUAAGGACCGGCUAAUUCCGUGCCAGCAGCCGCGGUAAUACGGAAGGUCCAGGCGUUAUCCGGAUUUAUUGGGUUUAAAGGGAGCGUAGGCCGGAGAUUAAGUGUGUUGUGAAAUGUAGACGCUCAACGUCUGACUUGCAGCGCAUACUGGUUUCCUUGAGUACGCACAACGUUGGCGGAAUUCGUCGUGUAGCGGUGAAAUGCUUAGAUAUGACGAAGAACUCCGAUUGCGAAGGCAGCUGACGGGAGCGCAACUGACGCUUAAGCUCGAAGGUGCGGGUAUCAAACAGG
This 761-nucleotide ribosomal RNA is filed under the name Prevotella melaninogenica. RNAcentral's name for it is "bacterial SSU rRNA". It matches the Rfam family "Bacterial small subunit ribosomal RNA", at positions 28 to 776 of the family's 1533-position model. The record is from RNAcentral. Lineage: Bacteria; Pseudomonadati; Bacteroidota; Bacteroidia; Bacteroidales; Prevotellaceae.